This 1160-nucleotide ribosomal RNA is filed under the name Rossellomorea vietnamensis. RNAcentral's name for it is "bacterial SSU rRNA". It matches the Rfam family "Bacterial small subunit ribosomal RNA", at positions 61 to 1156 of the family's 1533-position model. Lineage: Bacteria; Bacillati; Bacillota; Bacilli; Caryophanales; Bacillaceae. The record is from RNAcentral.
GUCGAGCGGAUUGAUGGGAGCUUGCUCCCUGAUAUCAGCGGCGGACGGGUGAGUAACACGUGGGUAACCUGCCUGUAAGACUGGGAUAACUCCGGGAAACCGGGGCUAAUACCGGAUAACUCAUUUCCUCGCAUGAGGAAAUGUUGAAAGGUGGCUUCUGGCUACCCCUUACAAAGGGACCCGGGGCCCAUUACUUAUUGGGGGAGGAAACGGUUCACCAAGGCAACAAUGCUUACCCAACCUGAAAGGGGGAUCGGCCCCCCUGGAACGGAAACCCGGCCCAAACUCCUACGGAAGGCACCAUAAGGGAAUCUUCCGCAUGGGACAAAAGUCUGACGAAGCACCGCCCCUGGAGGGAUGAAGGUUUUCGAAUCGUAAAGUUCUGUUGUUAGGAAAAACCAAUUGCCGUUCAAUUAGGGCGGCACCUUGACGGUACCUAACCAAAAAGCCACGGUUACCUCGUUGCCACCACCCGCGGAAUUACGUAGGUGGCAACCGUGUUCCGAAAUUAUUGGGCGUAAAGCGCGCGCAGGUGGUUCCUUAAUCCUAAUGUGAAAGCCCACGCUUCACCCUGGAAGGGUCAUGGAAACCUGGGGAACUUGAUGGCGAAGAGGAAAGUGAAAUUUCCAGUUGUAGCGGUGAAAUGCGUAGAUAUUGGGAGGAACCACCAGUUGCCGAAGGCGACUUUCUGGUCUGUAACUGACACUGGAAGCCGCGAAAGGCGUGGGGAGCAAACAGGAUAAGAUACCCUGGUUAGUCACCGCCGUAAACGAUGAUGCCUAGUUGUUAGGAGGUUUCCGCCCCUUAAUUGCGCAGCUAACGCAUUAAGCACCUCCGCUUGGGGAGUACGGUCCGCAAGACUGAACUUCAAAGGAAUUGACCGGGGCCCGCACAAGCCGUUGGAAGCAUGUUGGUUUAUUCCUAAGCAACGCCGGAGAACCUUACAAGGCCUGGACAUUCCUCUGGACAACCCUAAAAAUAGGGCUUUCCCCCUUCCGGGGACAAAGAGGACACAGGGGUGUGGAUGGGUUGUUCCUCCGCUUCGGUCCCUGAGAAUGUUGGGGUAUAAAUCCCCCCCAACAAACCCCAACCCCCUGUGACUCUAAAUUUGCCACCAUUUCAUGUGUGGGACCCUCUAUAAAAUAGACAUGCCCCCCUGU